UCAUCUCCGGGGGUAGAGCACUGUUUCGGCAAGGGGGUCAUCCCGACUUACCAACCCGAUGCAAACUGCGAAUACCGGAGAAUGUUAUCACGGGAGACACACGGCGGGUGCUAACGUCCGUCGUGAAGAGGGAAACAACCCAGACCGCCAGCUAAGGUCCCAAAGUCAUGGUUAAGUGGGAAACGAUGUGGGAAGGCCCAGACAGCCAGGAUGUUGGCUUAGAAGCAGCCAUCAUUUAAAGAAAGCGUAAUAGCUCACUGGUCGAGUCGGCCUGCGCGGAAGAUGUAACGGGGCUAAACCAUGCACCGAAGCUGCGGCAGCGACGCUUAUGCGUUGUUGGGUAGGGGAGCGUUCUGUAAGCCUGUGAAGGUGUGCUGUGAGGCAUGCUGGAGGUAUCAGAAGUGCGAAUGCUGACAUAAGUAACGAUAAAGCGGGUGAAAAGCCCGCUCGCCGGAAGACCAAGGGUUCCUGUCCAACGUUAAUCGGGGCAGGGUGAGUCGACCCCUAAGGCGAGGCCGAAAGGCGUAGUCGAUGGGAAACAGGUUAAUAUUCCUGUACUUGGUGUUACUGCGAAGGGGGGACGGAGAAGGCUAUGUUGGCCGGGCGACGGUUGUCCCGGUUUAAGCGUGUAGGCUGGUUUUCCAGGCAAAUCCGGAAAAUCAAGGCUGAGGCGUGAUGACGAGGCACUACGGUGCUGAAGCAACAAAUGCCCUGCUUCCAGGAAAAGCCUCUAAGCAUCAGGUAACAUCAAAUCGUACCCCAAACCGACACAGGUGGUCAGGUAGAGAAUACCAAGGCGCUUGAGAGAACUCGGGUGAAGGAACUAGGCAAAAUGGUGCCGUAACUUCGGGAGAAGGCACGCUGAUAUGUAGGUGAAGCGACUUGCUCGUGGAGCUGAAAUCAGUCGAAGAUACCAGCUGGCUGCAACUGUUUAUUAAAAACACAGCACUGUGCAAACACGAAAGUGGACGUAUACGGUGUGACGCCUGCCCGGUGCCGGAAGGUUAAUUGAUGGGGUUAGCGCAAGCGAAGCUCUUGAUCGAAGCCCCGGUAAACGGCGGCCGUAACUAUAACGGUCCUAAGGUAGCGAAAUUCCUUGUCGGGUAAGUUCCGACCUGCACGAAUGGCGUAAUGAUGGCCAGGCUGUCUCCACCCGAGACUCAGUGAAAUUGAACUCGCUGUGAAGAUGCAGUGUACCCGCGGCAAGACGGAAAGACCCCGUGAACCUUUACUAUAGCUUGACACUGAACAUUGAGCCUUGAUGUGUAGGAUAGGUGGGAGGCUUUGAAGUGUGGACGCCAGUCUGCAUGGAGCCGACCUUGAAAUACCACCCUUUAAUGUUUGAUGUUCUAACGUUGACCCGUAAUCCGGGUUGCGGACAGUGUCUGGUGGGUAGUUUGACUGGGGCGGUCUCCUCCUAAAGAGUAACGGAGGAGCACGAAGGUUGGCUAAUCCUGGUCGGACAUCAGGAGGUUAGUGCAAUGGCAUAAGCCAGCUUGACUGCGAGCGUGACGGCGCGAGCAGGUGCGAAAGCAGGUCAUAGUGAUCCGGUGGUUCUGAAUGGAAGGGCCAUCGCUCAACGGAUAAAAGGUACUCCGGGGAUAACAGGCUGAUACCGCCCAAGAGUUCAUAUCGACGGCGGUGUUUGGCACCUCGAUGUCGGCUCAUCACAUCCUGGGGCUGAAGUAGGUCCCAAGGGUAUGGCUGUUCGCCAUUUAAAGUGGUACGCGAGCUGGGUUUAGAACGUCGUGAGACAGUUCGGUCCCUAUCUGCCGUGGGCGCUGGAGAACUGAGGGGGGCUGCUCCUAGUACGAGAGGACCGGAGUGGACGCAUCACUGGUGUUCGGGUUGUCAUGCCAAUGGCACUGCCCGGUAGCUAAAUGCGGAAGAGAUAAGUGCUGAAAGCAUCUAAGCACGAAACUUGCCCCGAGAUGAGUUCUCCCUGAC
RNAcentral lists this ribosomal RNA (1947 nucleotides) under Escherichia coli. RNAcentral's name for it is "partial 23S ribosomal RNA". It matches the Rfam family "Bacterial large subunit ribosomal RNA", at positions 890 to 2819 of the family's 2925-position model. The record is from RNAcentral. Lineage: Bacteria; Pseudomonadati; Pseudomonadota; Gammaproteobacteria; Enterobacterales; Enterobacteriaceae.